GCCAAGAAAAGCCGAGCGGUCUAAGGCGCUGCGUUCAGGUCGCAGUCCGGUCUUCCGGGCGUGGGUUCGAAUCCCACUUCUGACA
Molecule: non-coding RNA, 85 nt
Organism: Ixodes scapularis (black-legged tick)
Lineage: Eukaryota; Metazoa; Arthropoda; Arachnida; Ixodida; Ixodidae
Source: Rfam